RNAcentral lists this long non-coding RNA (204 nucleotides) under Mytilus galloprovincialis (Mediterranean mussel). Lineage: Eukaryota; Metazoa; Mollusca; Bivalvia; Mytilida; Mytilidae. The record is from RNAcentral.
GUGUGCUGUUCGGUUGUUUCUAUAUUUAAAUAUCUAAAGCUUACUGGUAGUUUUAGAUCAAGACAAAAAAUAUCAAAUGGAUUAAAAAAAAUGUUAUGAGUAGCUGUUAUCUGUUUUUAUAGAUUUAUGGUUUUUCAACUGUGACUCUUCCAUAAUUGCUAUCUUGCAAUUUGUCUAGUCUGUUUUGCAAAACCUGAAAUAUUG